Molecule: non-coding RNA, 86 nt
Organism: Ustulina deusta
Lineage: Eukaryota; Fungi; Ascomycota; Sordariomycetes; Xylariales; Xylariaceae
Source: the annotation of a GenBank genome assembly
GCACUGAUAGCUCAGCGGUAGAGCAAUCGGCUGCAGUUUCCCGAAAUACAUCCGAUAGGUCCUCGGUUCAAAUCCGGGUCAGUGCU